This is a non-coding RNA of Crocodylus porosus (Australian saltwater crocodile), 86 nucleotides long. NCBI's taxonomy places the organism in Eukaryota, Metazoa, Chordata, Crocodylia, Crocodylidae. The record is from Ensembl.
UGGUCCGUGAUGAGGAGCCCACUGCGCAAUCCGAGCUGCUGGCAACAGCAUGAUGGAAAUAGUGUUGAGGAAAGCACCUGAGACCA